This 253-nucleotide ribosomal RNA is filed under the name uncultured bacterium. Its description in RNAcentral is "partial 16S ribosomal RNA". It matches the Rfam family "Bacterial small subunit ribosomal RNA", at positions 524 to 776 of the family's 1533-position model. The record is from RNAcentral.
UACGUAGGGUGCAAUCGUUGUCCGGAUUUAUUGGGUUUAAAGGGUGCGUAGGUGGCUGAUUAAGUCAUGGGUGAAAGCCCGCAGCUCAACUGUGGAAUUGCCUGUGAUACUGAUUAGCUUGAGUGCGGUUGAGGCAGCUGGAAUUGGUGGCGUAGCGGUGAAAUGCAUAGAUACCACCAGGAACACCGAUUGCGAAGGCAGGUUGCUAAGCCGUAACUGACACUGAGGCACGAAAGCGUGGGGAGAAAACAGG